RNAcentral lists this ribosomal RNA (1499 nucleotides) under metagenome. RNAcentral's name for it is "bacterial SSU rRNA". It matches the Rfam family "Bacterial small subunit ribosomal RNA". The record is from RNAcentral.
GAGUUUGAUCAUGGCUCAGAUUGAACGCUGGCGGCAGGCCUAACACAUGCAAGUCGAACGGUAACAGGAAGAAGCUUGCUUCUUUGCUGACGAGUGGCGGACGGGUGAGUAAUGUCUGGGAAACUGCCUGAUGGAGGGGGAUAACUACUGGAAACGGUAGCUAAUACCGCAUAACGUCGCAAGACCAAAGAGGGGGACCUUCGGGCCUCUUGCCAUCGGAUGUGCCCAGAUGGGAUUAGCUAGUAGGUGGGGUAACGGCUCACCUAGGCGACGAUCCCUAGCUGGUCUGAGAGGAUGACCAGCCACACUGGAACUGAGACACGGUCCAGACUCCUACGGGAGGCAGCAGUGGGGAAUAUUGCACAAUGGGCGCAAGCCUGAUGCAGCCAUGCCGCGUGUAUGAAGAAGGCCUUCGGGUUGUAAAGUACUUUCAGCGGGGAGGAAGGGAGUAAAGUUAAUACCUUUGCUCAUUGACGUUACCCGCAGAAGAAGCACCGGCUAACUCCGUGCCAGCAGCCGCGGUAAUAUGAGGGUGCAAGCGUUAAUCGGAAUUACUGGGCGUAAAGCGCACGCAGGCGGUUUGUUAAGUCAGAUGUGAAAUCCCCGGGCUCAACCUGGGAACUGCAUCUGAUACUGGCAAGCUUGAGUCUCGUAGAGGGGGGUAGAAUUCCAGGUGUAGCGGUGAAAUGCGUAGAGAUCUGGAGGAAUACCGGUGGCGAAGGCGGCCCCCUGGACGAAGACUGACGCUCAGGUGCGAAAGCGUGGGGGGCAAACAGGAUUAGAUACCCUGGUAGUCCACGCCGUAAACGAUGUCGACUUGGAGGUUGUGCCCUUGAGGCGUGGCUUCCGGAGCUAACGCGUUAAGUCGACCGCCUGGGGAGUACGGCCGCAAGGUUAAAACUCAAAUGAAUUGACGGGGGCCCGCACAAGCGGUGGAGCAUGUGGUUUAAUUCGAUGCAACGCGAAGAACCUUACCUGGUCUUGACAUCCACGGAAGUUUUCAGAGAUGAGAAUGUGCCUUCGGGAACCGAGAGACAGGUGCUGCAUGGCUGUCGUCAGCUCGUGUUGUGAAAUGUUGGGUUAAGUCCCGCAACGAGCGCAACCCUUAUCCUUUGUUGCCAGCGGUCCGGCCGGGAACUCAAAGGAGACUGCCAGUGAUAAACUGGAGGAAGGUGGGGAUGACGUCAAGUCAUCAUGGCCCCUUACGACCAGGGCUACACACGUGCUACAACGGCGCAUACAAAGAGAAGCGACCUCGCGAGAGCAAGCGGACCUCAUAAAGUGCGUCGUAGUCCGGAUUGGAGUCUGCAACUCGACUCCAUGAAGUCGGAAUCGCUAGUAAUCGUGGAUCAGAAUGCCACGGUGAAUACGUUCCCGGGCCUUGUACACACCGCCCGUCACACCAUGGGAGUGGGUUGCAAAAGAAGUAGGUAGCUUAACCUUCGGGAGGGCGCUUACCACUUUGUGAUUCAUGACUGGGGUGAAGUCGUAACAAGGUA